This 1177-nucleotide ribosomal RNA is filed under the name Frigoribacterium faeni. Its description in RNAcentral is "bacterial SSU rRNA". It matches the Rfam family "Bacterial small subunit ribosomal RNA", at positions 257 to 1453 of the family's 1533-position model. The record is from RNAcentral. Lineage: Bacteria; Bacillati; Actinomycetota; Actinomycetes; Micrococcales; Microbacteriaceae.
GUAAUGCUCACCAAGCGACGACGGUAGCCGCCUGAGAGGUGACCGGCCACACUGGACUGAGACACGGCCAGACUCCUACGGGAGGCAGCAGUGGGAAUAUUGCACAAUGGGCGAAAGCCUGAUGCAGCAACGCCGCGUGAGGGAUGACGGCCUUCGGGUUGUAAACCUCUUUUAGUAGGGAAGAAGCGAAAGUGACGGUACCUGCAGAAAAAGCACCGGCUAACUACGUGCCAGCAGCCGCGGUAAUACGUAGGGUGCAAGCGUUGUCCGGAAUUAUUGGGCGUAAAGAGCUCGUAGGCGGUUUGUCGCGUCUGCUGUGAAAUCUGGGGGCUCAACCCCCAGCCUGCAGUGGGUACGGGCAGACUAGAGUGCGGUAGGGGAGAUUGGAAUUCCUGGUGUAGCGGUGGAAUGCGCAGAUAUCAGGAGGAACACCGAUGGCGAAGGCAGAUCUCUGGGCCGUAACUGACGCUGAGGAGCGAAAGCAUGGGGAGCGAACAGGAUUAGAUACCCUGGUAGUCCAUGCCGUAAACGUUGGGAACUAGAUGUGGGGGCCAUUCCACGGUCUCCGUGUCGCAGCUAACGCAUUAAGUUCCCCGCCUGGGGAGUACGGCCGCAAGGCUAAAACUCAAAGGAAUUGACGGGGGCCCGCACAAGCGGCGGAGCAUGCGGAUUAAUUCGAUGCAACGCGAAGAACCUUACCAAGGCUUGACAUAUACCGGAAACGUCCAGAGAUGGUCGCCCCGCAAGGUCGGUAUACAGGUGGUGCAUGGUUGUCGUCAGCUCGUGUCGUGAGAUGUUGGGUUAAGUCCCGCAACGAGCGCAACCCUCGUUCUAUGUUGCCAGCACGUUAUGGUGGGAACUCAUAGGAGACUGCCGGGGUCAACUCGGAGGAAGGUGGGGAUGACGUCAAAUCAUCAUGCCCCUUAUGUCUUGGGCUUCACGCAUGCUACAAUGGCCGGUACAAAGGGCUGCGAUACCGUAAGGUGGAGCGAAUCCCAAAAAGCCGGUCUCAGUUCGGAUUGAGGUCUGCAACUCGACCUCAUGAAGUCGGAGUCGCUAGUAAUCGCAGAUCAGCAACGCUGCGGUGAAUACGUUCCCGGGCCUUGUACACACCGCCCGUCAAGUCAUGAAAGUCGGUAACACCCGAAGCCAGUGGCCUAACCCUUGUGGAUGGAGC